This is an RNA transcript of Nannospalax galili (Upper Galilee mountains blind mole rat), 2015 nucleotides long. It is a transcript of the gene named progestin and adipoQ receptor family member 3, with no coding region annotated. NCBI's taxonomy places the organism in Eukaryota, Metazoa, Chordata, Mammalia, Rodentia, Spalacidae. The record is from RefSeq and is a predicted model, not a curated record. The transcript is spliced from 8 exons.
UCCGCCGGUGCAGAGGAGGCGGCGGUGAGUAGCGGAGCCCGACCUGGGCAGCGGCGACCGGCACCACCUCGCGCAGCGGCGGCAGGCUCCGGGGCGGGGGCUCCAGCGGCGAAGCCCCCUCCCCGGGGAGGUGGGGCCGGGCCAGCUCCCGGGACCAUGCAUCAAAAGCUGCUGAAGAGCGCCCACUACAUCGAGCUGGGCAGCUACCAGUACUGGCCUGUGCUGGUGCCCCGCGGCAUCCGGCUCUACACCUACGAGCAGAUCCCGGUGUCCCUCAAAGACAACCCAUACAUCACCGACGGCUACCGUGCCUACCUGCCCUCCAGGCUGUGUAUUAAGAGUUUGUUUAUUUUAUCAAAUGAGACUGUAAACAUCUGGAGUCAUUUGCUGGGUUUCUUUCUCUUCUUCACCCUGGGAAUAUAUGACAUGACAUCUGUGCUACCUUCUGCAAGUGCAUCCAGAGAAGAUUUUGUCAUUUGUUCUAUUUGUCUUUUCUGCUUCCAGAUCUGUAUGCUUUGCUCAGUGGGCUAUCACCUUUUUUCCUGUCAUCGUUCAGAAAAGACCUGUCGAAGAUGGAUGGCAUUGGAUUAUGCAGGAAUUUCUAUUGGAAUACUGGGCUGCUAUGUUUCAGGAGUAUUUUAUGCGUUUUAUUGUAACAAUUACUGGCGCCAAGUAUACUUGAUCACUGUGCUUGCCAUGAUCCUGGCAGUGUUCUUUGCACAGAUUCAUCCCAAUUACCUCACACAGCAAUGGCAGAGGCUCCGCCCUAUCAUCUUCUGUUCUGUUUCUGGAUAUGGAGUGAUCCCUACUCUUCACUGGGUUUGGCUCAAUGGAGGAAUCAGUGCUCCUAUUGUACAGGACUUUGCACCCCGAGUAAUUGUGAUGUACGUGAUUGCUCUUCUUGCUUUCCUGUUCUACAUUUCCAAAGUUCCAGAACGGUACUUCCCAGGACAACUAAACUACCUCGGAUCAAGUCACCAGAUAUGGCAUAUCCUUGCAGUAGUGAUGUUAUAUUGGUGGCAUCAGUCAACAGUGUAUGUCAUGCAGUACAGACAUAGCAAGCCUUGUCCUGACUAUGUUUCACACCUGUGAAUUCAGGAGAGAAAUAACAGUAGGGCUCUCUUGAGGAGACUGAACUUCUGUACCCUUACACAGCUUAUGUGAACAGCCACCAAGGACCUCGUCCUGCUCUACAGAUGUGGCAUCAGACUACUGCCCAGCAUGCAGUGCUUAUGUGAAGUACCAAAACCUAAGAUAAACCCAGCAAGUGGCUGAGCCUUCAGACCAGUCUGCUUGGUGAAUGCCAGCACAGAAGAGCGGACUCCACCUCUGUAUUCCACCAGCAAGAUGGACAUAAUAGUCGGUCCUGUUAAACAGGAAACAGGGUAGGACUGAAAGGUGCAUUGCUCUGAAUCCACGUUUUUCACUAACUGUACCCAAGUGCACACAUACAGGGUGAGGGGCUUACAGUUCUAGUCAGUUACAUUUUCAUCCAGCUUAUGACAAACUUUUUCUCCUCCAACUGUAUAUACUGAGCAAUUUUUACAUCUUAGCAGAUACAUUUUUUUUUUUUUUACUACAAAAGCUGGUAUUUCCCAGUACUAACAUUUUAGUGAAGUAAUGAAAGUUAAACAGAUGGUCCACUUUUUAACACAUGAUUCAAAGUUAACAAGCAAUAUUAAAGCUGCUAGGAAACAACUUUGGCCGUAGAUUCUUACUAGGUUCUUAAUGUUACUUCCCUUAGUGAUGUUCAAGUAUAACAGGUUUAGAGUUAUGACUACUUUGCUUACUUAGAAGCACAGGGCACACCCAAUUGACAUUCCUUAAACCAGAACUGGGCCAUCCCAUAAUAGAGCCACUCGUGCUGGAUACUGGCUAAAUGCUUUUACAUGCCUUGGGAGUUUAAUUCUCAUAAAGGAAUUUGACCCUAGCAUCAGCUGUAUGGAGUGACAGUGGUAGGUGGGAAGACUGAAUAUGGAAGUCCGAAUCUCUACACCUUGAGAAAAUGCCUCUGA